UCCUUCCACUUCCCCCGGCCCGAGAGAGAGGAGCAAAAUGCAACCCGUUCGAUCUUAGACGAAAUCUUUCGUCAAGGACGUCGUCCCGACCCUCUCUCUCUACCGCUCUGCUUCCGCCCUUGAAGUUCGUCUCAAAGAGUUUGAGAUCUUCACCCUGGAUUGCCUCCGAGACUGCAGCUACAUGGUGUUGGUUCCAGAACGAGAAUGUAGUUGCAAAUGCAGUAGUACAAGUUGCAAAGGCACAGCAUGAACAAACAUCGACAUGGUGCAACCGCAUUACAGUCAAAAGCUAGUACAAAUGAAGUUAUAUUAGGUAGCAUAUAGGCUCUAAUUUGGAGUAAUGUGUUGUAAAUGUAAUCAUCUAGCAAAGAAUCUAAUGAUCGAGUUAGCUUAACUGUAA
Molecule: long non-coding RNA, 400 nt
Organism: Pyrus x bretschneideri (Chinese white pear)
Lineage: Eukaryota; Viridiplantae; Streptophyta; Magnoliopsida; Rosales; Rosaceae
Exons: 2
Source: RefSeq, a predicted model, not a curated record